UCCCAUCUGCCACCACUAGCCCCACCUGGUCUUCCACUUUCCUUGGGAUCUUGCCCGAUCCACCCAAUCGAUCCUGCCUUCUCCUCAUUUCCCCAACGAGCCAACCAACACACACCACCAGCCAGAUCCAUCAAACCACCAAGCGCCCGGCCUCCCUCACUUUUGGAUCGGCAGGCACCGCAUCUGGAUCCCCUCCCUCUCGAGCACUUCCAUGGAGCCAAGCUCCCGUGCCUCUCGUUCGUCCUUCCCGAAGACCAAAAGCACCGAGUCCUCGCAGCCGCCUUUGUCCGAGCACUCCCAUGCCGCCAAGCUGGAGCUCUCCUUUGCCGGCCUCUCAGGUCAUGUCCCUGCCCGUGCCCCUCGUCCUCCCUUUUCCUUCUUUCUCUCUCUAACCUCUAUGUCUAUCUCACCCGUUCAAGCAGGAGCGCAGCCGCCCUCGAUCCAUCUCCAUCCGGCCGAUAACGAGCAGUAGCUUGCCGGAGUUGAGCUCCACCGGGUCUGCCUCCCUCUGCCCGUUGCUGGCGCUCCUCCGCCGCUGCAAGUCCCUCGCUACACCACUUCUCCUCUGCAAUGAGCGGCUGCUGUAGCCGACGCAACCGCCGCGCGCCCUUGGCUGCAUCGCCCCGAACCGGCCUCCUCUUCACCGUUUCAUGCACCUCCGGGCACCUCCGCCUGUUUCCCCGUCCCCGGCAUCGUCUGCAUCUGCACCAAGCCGCUGCCGCUGGCUCUGCUUCACCUGAACCGGGGGUCCUCGUUUAGCUUCUCCCCGCGCCAAGUCCCCUACCGCCAUGGACGUCCCGACACGGGAGCUCGCCGUCGACCGCGCCCGACGUCGCCUGCCUCUGGAUCCGUCGAGCCCCGAUAUCUCUGGCCUCUCCGUCGCGGGAUCCUUCGCGUCCUCUGGUUCAUCCAGCUGCCGCCUGCAUCGAGCGUGACAACCCCCCGUUGACCGCUCCUCUGCUUCCGCUCGUCUAGCGCACCCGCGUGGACUCGAGCGAGUUCAGCGUUUCGGCCCAUCUACGCUGCUACACCUAGCCCAAUGGCAAGGACCAGCCGCUCCCUUGCUGGCCUUGCUCUUCUCUACUACGUGGGCUGAGCCCUCUGGUGAGAAACCAAGCCUGCUCCAGAUGCAGCCCGUAGUAUUUUUUUUACUGCGCUGCGAAUUUGGCUAAUAUCCCAGGUUUUACAGUUUUACAGAAAAACCCCGAACUUCAUGCAUUUAAUAACUCUUGAACCGGGCAUCGGUUUAUAAUGUUUUAUUUAUGCAACUUGACUAAACUUUCAUCUAGUUUCACAAUAUCCAACUUUCAUGCAUGUUUGAUAUGUUGAACUUGCUGUUUGCUUUAAUUUGCUUUAAUGCCAUUUAAAAUGGUUUAUUUCAUAACUAAAUAACCGUAGCUCCGAAUUUAAUAAACUUUUUAUGUAAAUGGGGUAGAAAAAUGCCUAGUUUAACAUGGUGUACUUGCUUUGCAUGAUUAACAACUCUAAAAUAUGGUUUAGGGCAGAACAGUACCAAAUUCAUAUUAUGCACAUGAGGAUUUUCCGAAAUUGUUGUUUGUUGUUCCGGCCUCAUUUAAACUUGCCUAGAUAGGCAGUUUUCAUAUGCUUCACCCCUUGCCAUGUUUAAGAACAUUUAAUAUUGAUGGGUACAUAACCGAGAGAGAACUAAAUAAGUCAUGUGGUGUUUUGUCAAUAUGUAACUCGUUGCAUAUUGAGCUCCACUUAAUUUGUAGUAUUGUUUGUUGCACUUUGCCAUGUCAUGCCUCAUUGAACCAGACUUGCAUCAUACUUGGUUGUGCAUCAUGCGAUCUUCAUGUGAUGGUUGUUUACCAUGUUGCUUGCUUCUUUCCGGGUUGCUUCUCUCGUUAGCUUCGGUUUCGUUCCAGAGUUGUGAGGCUUCUUUCCGGGUUGUUUACCAUGGUUGUCUUCAUGGACUUGUUCUUCUUCCUUACAGGAACUCAGGCAAGAUGACCAUUCCCUCGAAAUCUCUUCUAUCUUUGCUUGCUAGUUGUCCGCUCUAUUGCUAUGUCGCGCUACCUACCACUUGCUAUAUCAUGCCUCCUAUAUUGCCAUGUCAACCCUCUAACCCACCUUUUCCUAGCAAACUAUUGUUUGGCUAUGUUACCGCUUUUGCUUAGCCCCUUUUAUAGCGUUGCUAGUUGCAGGUGAAGUUGAUGUUUGUUCCAUGUUGGAACAUGGAUGUGUUGGGAUAUCACAAUAUCUCUAAUUUAAUUAAUGCAUCUAUAUACUUGGUAAAGGGUGGAAGGCUUGGCCUUAUGCCUGGUGUUUUGUUGCACUCUUGCCGCCUGAGUUUCCGUCAUACCGGUCUUAUGUUCCUUGAUUUUGCGUUCCUUACGCGGUUGGGUGUUAUGGGAACCCCUUCAUAGUUCGCCUUGAAUAAAACUCCUCCAGCAAGGCCUAACCUUGGUUUAAUCAUUUGCCUCACCACCACCUAUACUUUUCCCUUGGGAGUCGUGCUCCCGAGGGUCAUCUUUAUUUUAACCCCCCUGGGCUAGUGCUUCCCUAAGUGUUGGUCCGAACUGGGCGAUGUCUGGCGCCCCCUGGGCAACUAGGGUCUAUGCCAACCCGACGUCUUGCCCAUCCGGUGUGCCCUCAGAACGAGAUAUGAGCAGCUCCUAUCGGGAUCUAUCGACACAUUCGGGCGGUCUUGCUGGUUUUGUUUUACCACUGUAGAAAUGUCUUGUAACCAGGAUUCUGAGGCUCAUCAGGUCUUCUCGGGAGAAGGAAUAUCGUUCAUUGACCGUGAGAGCUUGUGAUGGGCUAAGUUGGGACACCCCUGUAGGGUUUGAACUUUUGAAAGUCGUGCCCGCAAUUAUGUGGCAGAUGGGAAUUGGUUAAUAUCCGGUUGUAGAGAACUUAACACUUGACUUAAGUAAAUGCAUCAACCGUGUGUGUAGCCGUGAUGUUCUCUUCUUGGCGGAGUCCGGGAAGUGAACAUGGUUUUGGAGUUAUGUUUGAAUGUAAGUAGUUUCAGGAUCACUUCUUGAUCACUUCUAGCUUCUCUACCAUUGUGUUGCUUCUCUUCUCGCUCUUAUUUGUGUAUGUUAGCCACCAUAUAUGCUUAGUUCUUGCUGCAGCUCCACCUCUUUAUCUUAUCCUACCCAUAAGCUUAAAUAGUCUUGAUCUCGCGUGUGUGGGAUUGCUGAGUCCUCGUGACUCAAAGAUACUUCCAAACAGUUGCAGGUGAGGCAACCGAGCUCAAGUGGGUGCUCGAUGAAGAUCUUGUCCGUUGUUUUGUGUCAUUUCCGGUUGAUCAGUAGUGUUGCCCAGUUGGGAUGAUCAGGGAUCUAGCAUUUGGGGUUGUCUUCUUUUAUUUUGGUUCCGUAGUCGGUCCUUGAUUGUAUUUUGGAUGAUGUAUGCUUAAUUUGUAUUGGUGUGAAGUGGCGAUUGUAAGCCAACUCUUUAUCCCUUUCUUAUUCAGUACAUGGGAUUAUGUCAAGAUAACCCCUCUUGCGACAAACCUAC
RNAcentral lists this long non-coding RNA (3486 nucleotides) under Triticum aestivum (bread wheat). Its description in RNAcentral is "long non-coding RNA (TAES_LNC001640)". Lineage: Eukaryota; Viridiplantae; Streptophyta; Magnoliopsida; Poales; Poaceae. The record is from RNAcentral.